GUAAGAAAUGUAAGAAAUGCAAUCCCAGACGCCAUACUGUUGCUUCUAAUCCUCCCUCACCAGCCCUUUCAGCCAGGGCCUUGGGCUGGGUAGUCACCCGCUGGCCUGGUGAAGGAGUGGCAGGGGGAAGUGGUCUUUGUCUGUGGGCUGUGGUCGUCUGUACGAGGAGUCUGUAGUCAGCGGUGUUUGUGUGUGCGUUAAUGAGUAACCGACUUCGAGUAUCACAAACACCGCUACUGUUCAGAAGAGCGACUCCGAAGUGAUCCCAGUGUACUGGGCAUGGUUGAGAAAUUCCCUCUGUACUAGGAGUCUGUAGUCAGGGGUGUUUGUGUGUGCGUUAAUGAGUAACCGACUUCGAGUAUCACAAACACCGCUACUGUUCAGAAGAGCGACUCCGAAGUGAUCCCAGUGUACUGGGCAUGGUUGAGAAAUUCCCUCUGUACGAGGAGUCUGUAGUCAGGGGUGUUUGUGUGUGCGUUAAUGAGUAACCGACUUCGAGUAUCACAAACACCGCUACUGUUCAGAAGAGCGACUCCGAAGUGAUCCCAGUGUACUGGGCAUGGUUGAGAAAUUCCCUCUGUACGAGGAGUCUGUAGUCAGGGGUGUUUGUGUGUGCGUUAAUGAGUAACCGACUUCGAGUAUCACAAACACCGCUACUGUUCAGAAGAGCGACUCCGAAGUGAUCCCAGUGUACUGGGCAUGGUUGAGAAAUUCCCUCUGUACGAGGAGUCUGUAGUCAGGUGUGUUUGUGUGUGCGUUAAUGAGUAACCGACUUCGAGUAUCACAAACACCGCUACUGUUCAGAAGAGCGACUCCGAGGUGAUCCCAGUGUACUGGGCAUGGUUGAGAAAUUCCCUCUGUACGAGGAGUCUGUAGUCAGGUGUGUUUGUGUGUGCGUUAAUGAGUAACCGACUUCGAGUAUCACAAACACCGCUACUGUUCAGAAGAGCAACUUCGAGGUGAUCCCAGUGUACUGGGCAUGGUUGAGAAAUUCCCUCUGUACGAGGAGUCUGUAGUCAGGUGUGUUUGUGUGUGCGUUAAUGAGUAACCGACUUCGAGUAUCACAAACACCGCUACUGUUCAGAAGAGCGACUCCGAGGUGAUCCCAGUGUACUGGGCAUGGUUGAGAAGUACCGUUAAACUGGUGCUUUUCAGUGGUCGUCUGUACCAGGAGUCUGUAGUCAGGGGUGUUUGUGUGUGCGUUAAUGAGUAACCGACUUCGAGUAUCACAAACACCGCUACUGUUCAGAAGAGCGACUCCGAAGUGAUCCCAGUGUACUGGGCAUGGUUGAGAAAUUCCCUCUGUACGAGGAGUCUGUAGUCAGGGUGUUUGUGUGUGCGUUAAUGAGUAACCGACUUCGAGUAUCACAAACACCGCUACUGUUCAGAAGAGCGACUCCGAGGUGAUCCCAGUGUACUGGGCAUGGUUGAGAAAUUCCCUCUGUACGAGGUGUCUGUAGUAAGGGGUGUUUGUGUGUGCGUUAAUGAGUAACCGACUUCGAGUAUCACAAACACCGCUACUGUUCAGAAGAGCGACUCCGAGGUGAUCCCAGUGUACUGGGCAUGGUUGAGAAAUUCCCUCUGUACGAGGAGUCUGUAGUCAGGGGUGUUUGUGUGUGCGUUAAUGAGUAACCGACUUCGAGUAUCACAAACACCGCUACUGUUCAGAAGAGCGACUCCGAAGUAAUCCCAGUGUACUGGGCAUGGUUGAGAAAUUCCCUCUGUACGAGGAGUCUGUAGUCAGGGGUGUUUGUGUGUGCGUUAAUGAGUAACCGACUUCGAGUAUCACAAACACCGCAACUGUUCAGAAGAGCGACUCCGAAGUGAUCCCAGUGUACUGGGCAUGGUUGAGAAAUUCCCUCUGUACGAGGAGUCUGUAGUCAGGGGUGUUUGUGUGUGCGUUAAUGAGUAACCGACUUCGAGUAUCACAAACACCGCUACUGUUCAGAAGAGCGACUCCGAAGUGAUCCCAGUGUACUGGGCAUGGUUGAGAAAUAUCGUUAAGGUGUCAAGUUUGGUGAACCGGCGAUAUUGGAACUACGCCGUUGAUGUCACAGUCGGUGAGCCAGCGAUGUGAAGCAACGCUGACGAUGUCAUAGUCGCUGAGCCAGCGAUGUGAAGCAACGCUGACGAUGUCAUAGUCGGGUAGCCAGCGAUGUGAAGCAACGUUGACGAUGUCAUAGUCGGUGAGCCAACGAUGUGAAGCAACGCUGACGAUGUCAUAGUCCGUGAGCCAGCGAUGUGAAGCAACGCUGACGAUGUCAUAGUCGGUGAGCCAGCGAUGUGGGGGCAACGCUGACGAUGUCAUAGUCGGUGAGCCAGCGAUGGGGGAAUAACGCUGACGAUGUCAUAGUCGGUGAGCCAGCGAUGGGGGAAUAACGCUGGUGGUGUCAUAAUCGGUGUGCCAGCGAUGGCGAGUAACGCUGGUGGUGUCAUGAUCGGUGUGCCAGCGAUGGGGGAAUAACGCUGGUGGUGUCAUAAUCGGUGUGCCAGCGAUGGGGAGUAACGCUGGUGGUGUCAUAAUCGGUGUGCCAGCGAUGGGGAGUAACGCUGGUGGUGUCAUAAUCGGUGUGCCAGCGAUGGGGAGUAACGCUGGUGGUGUCAUAAUCGGUGUGCCAGCGAUGGGGAGUAACGCUGGUGGUGUCAUAAUCGGUGUGCCAGCGAUGGGGGAGUAACGCUGGUGGUGUCGAAACCAUCAGGGAGUCUUGCAGAGGGCUUAGACAGAGCAAUAUCGGAGUGCCCCGUGAGCUUCAAGUAUCUACGCGUAGUCAAAAUGCCGCAGAAAGCACACGGGAGUCACUGGGACCACGCCUUACAAGACCCUUCAUCGUGCGUGUGUCUCAGCUGCGGGACGGACGGGAAGCAGACGCGACGCCUCCACCUCAGGCUGGAUCUGCUCGUGGGGAGAACUGGAGGUCUCGGCGAGGCGGUCGGCCGUGGGACUAGCGCUCACCCUCGAGACGCAGGUGGCGAUACUGAAAAGAUAAGCAGCUGAAGACACAGAUGAAUUAUAAAUUGUAGGAA
Long non-coding RNA from Eriocheir sinensis (Chinese mitten crab), 3024 nucleotides. RefSeq lists it as uncharacterized. Lineage: Eukaryota; Metazoa; Arthropoda; Malacostraca; Decapoda; Varunidae. The transcript is spliced from 5 exons. The record is from RefSeq and is a predicted model, not a curated record.